AGCGUACACGGUGGAUGCCCUGGCAGUCAGAGGCGAUGAAGGACGUGCUAAUCUGCGAUAAGCGUCGGUGAGGUGAUAUGAACCGUUAUAACCGGCGAUUUCCGAAUGGGGAAACCCAGUGUGUUUCGACACACUAUCAUUAACUGAAUCCAUAGGUUAAUGAGGCGAACCGGGGGAACUGAAACAUCUAAGUACCCCGAGGAAAAGAAAUCAACCGAGAUUCCCCCAGUAGCGGCGAGCGAACGGGGAGCAGCCCAGAGCCUGAAUCAGUGUGUGUGUUAGUGGAAGCGUCUGGAAAGGCGCGCGAUACAGGGUGACAGCCCCGUACACAAAAAUGCACAUGCUGUGAGCUCGAUGAGUAGGGCGGGACACGUGGUAUCCUGUCUGAAUAUGGGGGGACCAUCCUCCAAGGCUAAAUACUCCUGACUGACCGAUAGUGAACCAGUACCGUGAGGGAAAGGCGAAAAGAACCCCGGCGAGGGGAGUGAAAAAGAACCUGAAACCGUGUACGUACAAGCAGUGGGAGCCUCUUUAUGGGGUGACUGCGUACCUUUUGUAUAAUGGGUCAGCGACUUAUAUUCUGUAGCAAGGUUAACCGAAUAGGGGAGCCGAAGGGAAACCGAGUCUUAACUGGGCGUUAAGUUGCAGGGUAUAGACCCGAAACCCGGUGAUCUAGCCAUGGGCAGGUUGAAGGUUGGGUAACACUAACUGGAGGACCGAACCGACUAAUGUUGAAAAAUUAGCGGAUGACUUGUGGCUGGGGGUGAAAGGCCAAUCAAACCGGGAGAUAGCUGGUUCUCCCCGAAAGCUAUUUAGGUAGCGCCUCGUGAAUUCAUCUCCGGGGGUAGAGCACUGUUUCGGCAAGGGGGUCAUCCCGACUUACCAACCCGAUGCAAACUGCGAAUACCGGAGAAUGUUAUCACGGGAGACACACGGCGGGUGCUAACGUCCGUCGUGAAGAGGGAAACAACCCAGACCGCCAGCUAAGGUCCCAAAGUCAUGGUUAAGUGGGAAACGAUGUGGGAAGGCCCAGACAGCCAGGAUGUUGGCUUAGAAGCAGCCAUCAUUUAAAGAAAGCGUAAUAGCUCACUGGUCGAGUCGGCCUGCGCGGAAGAUGUAACGGGGCUAAACCAUGCACCGAAGCUGCGGCAGCGACACUAUGUGUUGUUGGGUAGGGGAGCGUUCUGUAAGCCUGUGAAGGUGUACUGUGAGGUAUGCUGGAGGUAUCAGAAGUGCGAAUGCUGACAUAAGUAACGAUAAAGCGGGUGAAAAGCCCGCUCGCCGGAAGACCAAGGGUUCCUGUCCAACGUUAAUCGGGGCAGGGUGAGUCGACCCCUAAGGCGAGGCCGAAAGGCGUAGUCGAUGGGAAACAGGUUAAUAUUCCUGUACUUGGUGUUACUGCGAAGGGGGGACGGAGAAGGCUAUGUUGGCCGGGCGACGGUUGUCCCGGUUUAAGCGUGUAGGCUGGUUUUCCAGGCAAAUCCGGAAAAUCAAGGCUGAGGCGUGAUGACGAGGCACUACGGUGCUGAAGCAACAAAUGCCCUGCUUCCAGGAAAAGCCUCUAAGCAUCAGGUAACAUCAAAUCGUACCCCAAACCGACACAGGUGGUCAGGUAGAGAAUACCAAGGCGCUUGAGAGAACUCGGGUGAAGGAACUAGGCAAAAUGGUGCCGUAACUUCGGGAGAAGGCACGCUGAUAUGUAGGUGAAGCGACUUGCUCGUGGAGCUGAAAUCAGUCGAAGAUACCAGCUGGCUGCAACUGUUUAUUAAAAACACAGCACUGUGCAAACACGAAAGUGGACGUAUACGGUGUGACGCCUGCCCGGUGCCGGAAGGUUAAUUGAUGGGGUUAGCGGUAACGCGAAGCUCUUGAUCGAAGCCCCGGUAAACGGCGGCCGUAACUAUAACGGUCCUAAGGUAGCGAAAUUCCUUGUCGGGUAAGUUCCGACCUGCACGAAUGGCGUAAUGAUGGCCAGGCUGUCUCCACCCGAGACUCAGUGAAAUUGAACUCGCUGUGAAGAUGCAGUGUACCCGCGGCAAGACGGAAAGACCCCGUGAACCUUUACUAUAGCUUGACACUGAACAUUGAGCCUUGAUGUGUAGGAUAGGUGGGAGGCUUUGAAGUGUGGACGCCAGUCUGCAUGGAGCCGACCUUGAAAUACCACCCUUUAAUGUUUGAUGUUCUAACGUUGGCCCCUGAUCGGGGUUGCGGACAGUGUCUGGUGGGUAGUUUGACUGGGGCGGUCUCCUCCUAAAGAGUAACGGAGGAGCACGAAGGUUGGCUAAUCCUGGUCGGACAUCAGGAGGUUAGUGCAAUGGCAUAAGCCAGCUUGACUGCGAGCGUGACGGCGCGAGCAGGUGCGAAAGCAGGUCAUAGUGAUCCGGUGGUUCUGAAUGGAAGGGCCAUCGCUCAACGGAUAAAAGGUACUCCGGGGAUAACAGGCUGAUACCGCCCAAGAGUUCAUAUCGACGGCGGUGUUUGGCACCUCGAUGUCGGCUCAUCACAUCCUGGGGCUGAAGUAGGUCCCAAGGGUAUGGCUGUUCGCCAUUUAAAGUGGUACGCGAGCUGGGUUUAGAACGUCGUGAGACAGUUCGGUCCCUAUCUGCCGUGGGCGCUGGAGAACUGAGGGGGGCUGCUCCUAGUACGAGAGGACCGGAGUGGACGCAUCACUGGUGUUCGGGUUGUCAUGCCAAUGGCACUGCCCGGUAGCUAAAUGCGGAAGAGAUAAGUGCUGAAAGCAUCUAAGCACGAAACUUGCCCCGAGAUGAGUUCU
RNAcentral lists this ribosomal RNA (2773 nucleotides) under human gut metagenome. RNAcentral's name for it is "bacterial LSU rRNA". It matches the Rfam family "Bacterial large subunit ribosomal RNA". The record is from RNAcentral.